This 428-nucleotide ribosomal RNA is filed under the name uncultured archaeon. RNAcentral describes it as "bacterial SSU rRNA". It matches the Rfam family "Archaeal small subunit ribosomal RNA", at positions 44 to 473 of the family's 1478-position model. The record is from RNAcentral.
UUAAGCCAUGCGAGUCGAACGAGUUUAGGCUCGUGGCGUACGGCUCAGUAACACGUGGAUAACCUACCCUUAGGACCGGGAUAACCUUGGGAAACUGAGGAUAAUACUGGAUAGGCAAUUAUUUCUGCAAUGGUUUUUUGUUUAAAUGUUUUUUUCGCCUAAGGAUGGGUCUGCGGCCGAUUAGGUAGUUGGUUAGGUAAAGGCUUACCAAGCCGUUGAUCGGUACGGGUUGUGAGAGCAAGAGCCCGGAGAUGGAACCUGAGACAAGGUCCCAGGCCCUACGGGGUGCAGCAGGCGCGAAACCUCCGCAAUGUGAGAAAUCGCGACGGGGGGAUCCCAAGUGCCAUUCUUAACGGGAUGGCUUUUCAUUAGUGUAAAGAGCUUUUGGAAUAAGGGCUGGGCAAGACCGGUGCCAGCCGCCGCGGUGA